RNAcentral lists this unclassified non-coding RNA (348 nucleotides) under soil metagenome. RNAcentral describes it as "partial contains 5.8S ribosomal RNA, internal transcribed spacer 2, and large subunit ribosomal RNA". The stretch from base 1 to 120 matches the Rfam family "5.8S ribosomal RNA", at positions 35 to 154 of the family's 154-position model. The record is from RNAcentral.
GAUAAAGAACGUAGCAAAAUGCGAUAAGUAAUGUGAAUUGCAGAAUUCAGUGAAUCAUCGAAUCUUUGAACGCACAUUGCGCCCGCUGGUAUUCCGGCGGGCAUGCCUGUUCGAGCGUCAUUUCAACCCUCAAGCCCCCGGGUUUGGUGUUGGGGAUCGGCUCUGCCCUUCUGGGCGGUGCCGCCCCCGAAAUACAUUGGCGGUCUCGCUGCAGCCUCCAUUGCGUAGUAGCUAACACCUCGCAACUGGAACGCGGCGCGGCCAUGCCGUAAAACCCCAACUUCUGAAUGUUGACCUCGGAUCAGGUAGGAAUACCCGCUGAACUUAAGCAUAUCAAUAAGCGGAGGA